CUGUCCACAGUGUCAGACUGAAAUGGGUAAAUUCCUGGGCCCAGAGUAACCAGUACUUGGCCUUUAGUCUAUACAGGCUGCUCAGGGGAAAUUAUCUGAUGCCCAGAUCUUCCCUUCUUCAAGAACAGCACUCAUCAGAGUCACACUCCAGUCGGGACAUUUUGUUUUAUUCAAGAUACAGAGGAAGAGGUGAAAAGGUUAUAAUGUUUCCACCGAACAGACAGGAAACCGAGGCUUAGAACUCUCAUGCAAUUUACUCAAGGUUUUGCAACGAGUGAAGUGUUCGAGUUGACGCAAGUUCAAGUUGAUUUUCUUUCUUACAAGUACACUGUCUUUCUUGACACCCAAAAAGAGACUUGCAGAACCAUGAGGGAUUUGCUCAAGCCCACAGCUGACUGCACAGGACGUGGUGACUCUUCUACCUCUUCUACCCCCUAGCCACCAGCGGACCCAAGCUUCCAAAUCCGCAGACACACUUUUAACAUCUGUAUAACCACGCAUACAUGCUUACAUGACGAUAAAAAGCUGACUCCCUCCAUUAAUUUGAGUGUGACUUUGUAACCUGGACUCCACACUUUCUUCUGCUCCGGUCUCUCACAGCAACAAAGGUACAAGGAAGGGUCAGA
Molecule: long non-coding RNA, 626 nt
Organism: Myodes glareolus (Bank vole)
Lineage: Eukaryota; Metazoa; Chordata; Mammalia; Rodentia; Cricetidae
Source: RefSeq, a predicted model, not a curated record